UAUUUUUCCAAAUCUUUUAUAUAUAUAAAUAAAUAACCAAAAACCACAAGUGUAAAGCAAAGAGAGAGUUCCAGAAUAAGAAUCUUGAUUCAAUACCACAAAGAAAGAGAGAAAAAAAAAGGUAACACAAGAAAUUUUCUCUUCUUUCCUACACUUCUUUUUAUCAUUUUUCGAAAAUCGCGAAGAUAAUUUUUUGAUACGAAAGCUGCUAUCAGUAUUGAAAACGUUGUUUUUGCUAUGGCGGAAGAAUUUCAACUAGGGGGAGGGAAUUGGUGGGAAAAUAAUACGUCCACAUCAUCAAGGAAUAGGUUCGAUAGUAGUGGUUCAUCCAUUACACCUACAACUUCCACAUCGGCCACUACUACUGACUAUAGUAGUAAUUGGCCGAUACAAACUAAUCAUGUGGACAUCAAACCUAGGACUUUCUUGGAUUCUGUGUCGGUGUCUCAAUCUUCCGAUCAUGAUGAUAAGGGUGAAGGAGGAGGAGGAGGUGGCGGCGGCGUUUUAUCUUCUCAUGAUUCAAAUUUCCAAAUUAUGGGUUUGGGCCUUACUUCUCAACCACAUGAUUGGAACCACCAAUCUUUAUUGAAUUAUGAGGAUUCUUCGUCACAAAUGAAUAUUAGGGGUUUUUCGUUAGAUCAAAAUAAUUCAAUAUUUAGUCAUUCAUCAAAUUACGAAGUAACUGAUAAUCAUCAAGUGUUGCAUUCGUCUACGACGAAUUCUUGGUCUAAAUUUCCUCAAUUUCUCCGAGCAUCACCUUCGCCGGAGCAGCCUCCAUUGCCGCCACCGGCGCGGCCGUUGCCGCCACCUCACAGCCAGCUGCAUUUCUCAAAUAAUACUCCAUUUUGGAAUGCAAGUGCAGCUUCCAUGAAUGAUGUUCCUUCAAGUUUAUUUCCUUCUAAUUUGCAUAAUAUUCCUAAUAACACAACAAUUGAUGAGAAAGCAAAGAAUAUGGGAGAUGUUAGAGAUAUAAAUAGAAUUAUAUCAAAGAAAACCACCACUACUGAAACAUCAAAUAAAAGGCCAAGGAAUGAAACUUCAACUCCUUCUCCGACAAUUAAGGUGAGAAAAGAGAAAAUGGGAGACAGAAUCACUGCACUUCAACAAUUAGUCUCACCUUUUGGAAAGACAGAUACAGCUUCUGUAUUAUCAGAAGCAAUUGAGUAUAUAAAGUUCCUCCAUGAUCAAAUUGGUGCAUUAAGCGCCCCAUAUAUGAAAAGUGGAGCAUCCAUGCAACAUCUUCAGAGUGAUAAUAAAUCCGAAGAUAUUGGAGAAGGAAGAAGUAAAGAUUUGAGAAGUCGAGGGUUAUGUUUGGUACCAAUUUCAAGUAUUUUUCCAGUAACUCAUGAGACUAAUGUUGAUUUAUGGACACCUACUUUUGGAUCAACUUUUAGAUAAUUUAAUUCCGUCGCAAAUAGUUGCGACAGACGAAUAUUUCUGUUGAAAAAUUCAACGAAAGUAUUCGUGGAGGGAAAUGAAUGGACUUAUUAUAGACGGAUUCAGAAUAUGAAAUCGACUAUGCAUUAGUUGACAUCUAAUGUCCUUGGCAUUGAACUUGUUGAGGUCUGUCCUUCGAAUUAAUAAUGUGUGACAUACUCUAACGACGUACGCAAUACAAUCUAUGCCGACGUUGAAUUCACCAAAACAAUACAAUAUGAUGCAUUAUGAAACUGAACCCGGACACACGGGAGCGAAGUAGCUCGACACAACGAUCAAAAUUUUAUUUAGGUAUACAUGGUAGAUCAAGAACGUAACCCUGUUGGUGAAAAUUCUGUCUCUGCCACGGCCCUGUGGAGUAAGUAUAGACGGAUAGUUCAAUUCGUGUCGUUCCAUUGCUUACUUCCAGGAACCCAUUUAGGACACACGGGACUAAAGUAGCUCGACACAACCCUCGAAUUCAAUAGCUCAACGAGCGGGGCAAAUUUAACGCAUCGUGGCGUCUUGUAUUGGUUAAUGGAAGCUCCUAAUAAGCUAGUACAACAAUAGUCCAUGAGCUUGUCAAAAGUACCUGUUUCCACUAUCCUGAUUUCAAGAACCCUGGCGAUAGACGUUGUCGAGAGAUUCUUCAAUGGUGAGGCAACAAUCUUCAAGGACUGAAGGAGGAAUCGGGGCAGAGACGUUGACGUUUAGCUCCAAGAACAGGACAUAAUGGCCUGGAAUGGUAGUAGUAUCCGCAUAGCUGGUGUAGUCGACUACACGUGCAUCGAAUGGCAUCAGAUUGUUUUCUGCAUUA
Molecule: RNA transcript, 2233 nt
Organism: Solanum pennellii
Lineage: Eukaryota; Viridiplantae; Streptophyta; Magnoliopsida; Solanales; Solanaceae
Gene name: transcription factor bHLH123-like
Exons: 9
Source: RefSeq, a predicted model, not a curated record